Molecule: non-coding RNA, 293 nt
Organism: Dermacentor andersoni
Lineage: Eukaryota; Metazoa; Arthropoda; Arachnida; Ixodida; Ixodidae
Source: RefSeq, a predicted model, not a curated record
ACCGUGUUAUAGACGGCAGAGCAAUUAAAGACGAGGAGUGUGACGGGGACACUUUCGAACAAAGCCCGUUCGCUUGGCUACACCGAGGCAAAGCCACCACUCACGCCAGAAAAAAUCUCGUCUCUAAAGGCGAUGCUUGCCAUCUACAUGGGCGACGUGACAAAGGAGGUGGCGGACAAGCGAAUGAAAAUGGUCCGCAAGCAUUUGUCACAAAAGCUUGGUGACGUGCAGCGGCGCUGAAUUGUGUGUAUCAGCCACGGACAUUAAGGUGUUCAAUAAAUCUAUCAGUCGGA